Molecule: ribosomal RNA, 477 nt
Filed under: uncultured bacterium
Lineage: Bacteria
Description: partial 16S ribosomal RNA
Rfam family: Bacterial small subunit ribosomal RNA
Source: RNAcentral
GAUGAACGCUGGCGGCGUGCCUAAUACAUGCAAGUCGAGCGAACAGACGAGGAGCUUGCUCCUCUGACGUUAGCGGCGGACGGGUGAGUAACACGUGGAUAACCUACCUAUAAGACUGGGAUAACUUCGGGAAACCGGAGCUAAUACCGGAUAAUAUAUUGAACCGCAUGGUUCAAUAGUGAAAGACGGUUUUGCUGUCACUUAUAGAUGGAUCCGCGCCGCAUUAGCUAGUUGGUAAGGUAACGGCUUACCAAGGCAACGAUGCGUAGCCGACCUGAGAGGGGAAUCGGCCACAGUGGGCAUGAGCUAGGGGACAGAGUGCUGCGUGAGGGAGAAGUGGCGAAUAAUGGAAAAUGUGCGGAAGCAUGAAGCAACAAUGGAGCGUGCGUGAGGACGGGCUUCGGGUGGAAAACAGCAGAAGCCCGUGACGAAGAGCGAGCGACGGGAAGGGGUAAAGAAGCACCGGCUAAGGACGUG